This 102-nucleotide microRNA precursor is filed under the name Marmota monax (woodchuck). The record is from RNAcentral. Lineage: Eukaryota; Metazoa; Chordata; Mammalia; Rodentia; Sciuridae.
AAUGCAAUUGCUGAAUCAUAUGCUAAGACUAUGUUUAACUUCUCAAGAGACUGCCAAAUUGCCUUCCAAUGUGGCUGCACCAUUUGUAUUCCCACCAGGAAU